This 345-nucleotide long non-coding RNA is filed under the name Mytilus galloprovincialis (Mediterranean mussel). Lineage: Eukaryota; Metazoa; Mollusca; Bivalvia; Mytilida; Mytilidae. The record is from RNAcentral.
AAAACCUGCAUUUUACCCCUAUGUUCUAUUUUUAGCCAUGGCGGCCAUCUUGGUUGGUUGACCGGGUCACCGGACACAAUUUUUUAAACUAGAUACCCCAAUGAUGAUUGUUGCCAAGUUUGGUUCAAUUUGGCCCAGUAGUUUCAGAGGAGAAGAUUUUUGUAAAAGAUAACUAAGAUUUACGAAAAAUGGUUAAAAAUUGACUAUAAAGGGCAAUAACUCCUAAAGGGGUCAACUGACCAUUUCGGUCAUGUUGACUUAUUUGUAAAUCUUACUUUGCUGAACAUUUUUACUGUUUACAGUUUAUCUCUAUCUAUAAUAAUAUUCAUGAUAAUAACCAAAAAC